UACGUAGGGUGCGAGCGUUGUCCGGAAUUAUUGGGCGUAAAGAGCUCGUAGGCGGUCUGUCGCGUCGAUCGUGAAAACUUGGGGCUUAACCCUGAGCUUGCGGUCGAUACGGGCAUGACUGGAGUUCGGCAGGGGAGACUGGAAUUCCUGGUGUAGCGGUGAAAUGCGCAGAUAUCAGGAGGAACACCGGUGGCGAAGGCGGGUCUCUGGGCCGAUUCUGACGCUGAGGAGCGAAAGCGUGGGGAGCGAACAGG
Molecule: ribosomal RNA, 254 nt
Filed under: uncultured bacterium
Lineage: Bacteria
Description: partial 16S ribosomal RNA
Rfam family: Bacterial small subunit ribosomal RNA
Source: RNAcentral